RNAcentral lists this long non-coding RNA (535 nucleotides) under Prunus persica (peach). Its description in RNAcentral is "long non-coding RNA (PPER_LNC004314)". The record is from RNAcentral. Lineage: Eukaryota; Viridiplantae; Streptophyta; Magnoliopsida; Rosales; Rosaceae.
UUUCAGAGAAAAUUCAUAAACGAAAAAGAAAAAAAAAAAAAAGUACCAACUUUUCUUUGUAGGAAAAGGUGGAACAACAUUAAGGUUAUUACAUGCUCUUCAACUUGUAUAGGUUUGUAGACUAGGUUGAUCGAUGUAUAGUGAACUAGAAAACUUCUGCACACCGAACUACAUGUUUAGAGUGGAAGUAUCAGAAAUAAUCCCCUAAAUCACAUGCUCUGUAUUUUUUAUCAUCUCAACAUGCUAAUUCCAGACUAAAAGCCCAAGGAACAUUUAAUGUUUUCACAUAUGAUGUGUAGUAGUGUUUGUAUGUGCACUAUGGAUAGAAGCCACCAUGAAACCAUAAGCACUACCUUUGUUCCUCUUUCACAAGAUUAAGAGCGAGCCCCUCAACCGGCCCAGUUGUACUGUCCUUAACUGCAAAUAUAGUCUGAUCAAACUCCUCUGGAGCUCCCUAAAGAGAAUAUCACUCCAGCAGAUCCCGUCCAAUCUGUUCCAACAGAUUUCAUUCCUUCCAUCAGUCCCAUGAAAUCAG